GCAGCAGCGCGCAAAUUACCCCACUCCCGGCACGGGGAGGUAGUGACGAAAAAUAACGAUACGGGACUCAUCCGAGGCCCCGUAAUCGGAAUGAGAACACUUUAAACUCUUUAACGAGUAUCCAUUGGAGGGCAAGUCUGGUGCCAGCCGCCGCGGUAACUCCAGCUCCAAUAGCGUAUACUAAAGUUGUUGCGGUUAAAAAGCUCGUAGUUGGACCUGUGUCCCACGCUGUCGGUUCACCGUUCGCCGGUGUUCAACUGGCAGGCCAGUGAGGACGUCCUGCCGGUGGAUGCGGUCGGCGCGAGGUCGAGGGCUACCCUUCCCAUGGGGUGUCCCGUCCUCGUCGUCGGCGGUCCGUUUGAAUCCUGCCGCGGUGCUCUUCACCGAGUGUCGAGGUGGGCCGGCACGUUUACUUUGAACAAAUUUGAGUGCUCAGGGAGGGCAGUGUAACGCCCGAAUGUUGUGUGCAUGGAAUAAUGGAAUAGGACCUCGGUUCUAUUUUGUUGGUUUACGGAACCCGAGGUAAUGAUUGACAGGGACAAUCGGGGGCAUUCGUAUUGCGACGUUAGAGGUGAAAUUCUUGGAUCGUUGCAAGACGGACAUAAGCGAAAGCAUUUGCCAAGAGUGUUUUCAUUAAUCAAGAGCGAAAGUUAGAGGAUCGAAGGCGAUCAGAUACCGCCCUAGUUCUAACCAUAAACGAUGCCAGCUAGCGAUCCGCCGAAGUUCCUCCUAUGACUCGGCGGGCAGCUUCCGGGAAACCAAAGCUUUUGGGUUCCGGGGGAAAGUAUGGUUGCAAAGCUGAAACUUAAAGGAAUUGACGGAAGGGCACCACCAGGAGUGGAGCCUACGGCUUAAUUUGACUCAACACGGGAAAACUCACCAGGCCCGGACACCGGAAGGAUUGACAGAUUGAGAGCUCUUUCUUGAUUCGGUGGGUGGGUGGUGCAUGGCCG
This 953-nucleotide ribosomal RNA is filed under the name Parapachymorpha spinigera. RNAcentral describes it as "SSU rRNA". It matches the Rfam family "Eukaryotic small subunit ribosomal RNA", at positions 425 to 1290 of the family's 1831-position model. Lineage: Eukaryota; Metazoa; Arthropoda; Insecta; Phasmatodea; Phasmatidae. The record is from RNAcentral.